GUUUCCGUAGGUGAACCUGCGGAAGGAUCAUUGCACACACGAUGCAGCCAACCCGCGGCGAACGAACCCAUUGUCCCCCCGGUCGGGUCGCGACGCGGCGCCCUCGCGGCGGCGCGGCGCGUGCCCGGCCACCACCUCGCGGCGCGAGCUCCUCGCGGGCUCGUGGCGCGUGGUGUUUCCACGAUGCGCACACCGAGUGAAUGACUGAGUCCCGAUGGUUCGACUCGCGACGGGCGCGAGCGCCGCGCGCGCUGGUGCCUUGGUGCGAGUGGAGCCGGAGUUGAAAGGUAUAACCAAAACAACUCUCAGCAACGGAUAUCUUGGCUCUUGCAACGAUGAAGAACGCAGCGAAAUGCGAUACGUAGUGUGAAUUGCAGAAUUCCGCGAAUCAUCGAGUCUUUGAACGCAAGUUGCGCCCGAGGCUUGUCCGAGGGCAUUUCCGCUAGAGCGUCACCGCGCCCCCCACCGACCCACUCCCGCCGCGGCGCGGAUGGGUUCGAGUGAAAGUGGCCGUCCCGGCGCGCCCUCUCGCGAGGGCGCCAAGGGUGGGCUGAAAUGGAUGCAACGGGGUCGCCGUGGCGACGCAGUCCGCGAUCGGGUGAUGUCCCGGGCCUCGCAAGGAGCCCGUGAUUUUUUCUAAGUGCGUGUCUGCGUCCCCCAGUCGGUUCCCCUGGCUCGUGCAGGUCGAGCGCGCCCCCCGCGGCGCGCGUCACGCAUCAGACCUCUAAUCGGAAAAGACCACCCGCUGAG
RNAcentral lists this ribosomal RNA (750 nucleotides) under Brotherella erythrocaulis. RNAcentral's name for it is "eukaryotic LSU rRNA". The stretch from base 301 to 453 matches the Rfam family "5.8S ribosomal RNA". Lineage: Eukaryota; Viridiplantae; Streptophyta; Bryopsida; Hypnales; Pylaisiadelphaceae. The record is from RNAcentral.